Long non-coding RNA from Eptesicus fuscus (big brown bat), 482 nucleotides. RefSeq lists it as uncharacterized. The transcript is spliced from 5 exons. The record is from RefSeq and is a predicted model, not a curated record. Lineage: Eukaryota; Metazoa; Chordata; Mammalia; Chiroptera; Vespertilionidae.
GGCGGCUGCUCAUCUACAGGGGUCAGGCCAGCCCCGAGCACAGCCUUCCUACCUGGGCCAUGGGUGAACCAGGGCAGCAGGUACAGGUGCACGGCGGCCAGCUCCAGCAGCUCGAAGGCGCGGGCCAGGCCGCGCAGCGCGGGGGCCAGGUCGGCGCGGCCCCACAGGCCGUCGGCCCUCUGCAGCGCCAGGGACGAAGGAGCGGAAGUUCCUCGCGAACCCGCCGGGCGGGGAACUCCUCUGGCGGGUGGGACCCUUCGCCUUACUCCGCAAGGUCCUGCAGAGCAUCCUGUCCUAGGGGCCCACCCCAGGGCUGUCCCACUCCUGCAAAGAGGGCGUGACGGGCAGGCCCGGUGUCGUGGACCUCAUUGGUCUCUGGGAGUCUGGCUCUUGCUGGUCAGUGGCUGCUGGGCGCACGUCGAGUCAGAGCAGGCCGUGCAGGCGCUGACCCUGCUUCCCACCCACCCGGAGGGGAUGUGCAG